UGUGCAGGCGGGCUAUCAAGUGGUGCAUGAAAUCGCUCGGCUUAACCGGGCGCGGUUGUGCCAGACUGAUGGUCUGGAGUGCGGGAGAGGGGCGUGGAAUUCCGGGUGUAGUGGUGAAAUGCGUAGAGAUCCGGAGGAACCCCAGAGGCGAAGGCGGCGCCCUGGCCCGACACUGACGCUCAGACACGACAGCAUGGGGAGCGAACG
This 207-nucleotide ribosomal RNA is filed under the name uncultured bacterium. Its description in RNAcentral is "partial 16S ribosomal RNA". It matches the Rfam family "Bacterial small subunit ribosomal RNA", at positions 568 to 774 of the family's 1533-position model. The record is from RNAcentral.